GACUUACCCUCUGAGGCUGGCUAUAGACCGACAGCAUCGUGUCAAAGAACUUCUAGUCUGGACAUGCAACUCUGGAAUCUCUUUGUAAAAUAAAAACAUGUCAAAUGAA
Non-coding RNA from Salvelinus sp. IW2-2015, 109 nucleotides. Lineage: Eukaryota; Metazoa; Chordata; Actinopteri; Salmoniformes; Salmonidae. The record is from RefSeq and is a predicted model, not a curated record.